UGGGGAAUAUUGGACAAUGGGCGAAAGCCUGAUCCAGCCAUGCCGCGUGUGUGAAGAAGGCCUUUUGGUUGUAAAGCACUUUAAGCGAGGAGGAGGCUACUUAGAUUAAUACUCUAGGAUAGUGGACGUUACUCGCAGAAUAAGCACCGGCUAACUCUGUGCCAGCAGCCGCGGUAAUACAGAGGGUGCGAGCGUUAAUCGGAUUUACUGGGCGUAAAGCGUGCGUAGGCGGCUUUUUAAGUCGGAUGUGAAAUCCCUGAGCUUAACUUAGGAAUUGCAUUCGAUACUGGGAAGCUAGAGUAUGGGAGAGGAUGGUAGAAUUCCAGGUGUAGCGGUGAAAUGCGUAGAGAUCUGGAGGAAUACCGAUGGCGAAGGCAGCCAUCUGGCCUAAUACUGACGCUGAGGUACGAAAGCAUGGGGAGCAAACA
Molecule: ribosomal RNA, 428 nt
Filed under: Brucella melitensis
Lineage: Bacteria; Pseudomonadati; Pseudomonadota; Alphaproteobacteria; Hyphomicrobiales; Brucellaceae
Also listed under: 1 other name
Description: partial 16S ribosomal RNA
Rfam family: Bacterial small subunit ribosomal RNA
Source: RNAcentral